GACAGAGGAGCCAAGCGUUGUCCGGACUGACUGGGCGUAAAGCGCCCGCAGGCGGUCGUGCGCGUGGUGUGUGAAAGCGCUCGGCUUAACUGAGCGAGGCCAUCCCAUACGGCGCGACUCGAGCCGUCCAGAGGCCGGUGGAAUUGCCGGUGUAGUGGUGAAAUGCGUAGAUAUCGGGAGGAACACCAAUGGCGAAGGCAGCUCGCUGGGACGGUACUGACGCUGAGACGCGAAAGCGUGGGGAGCAAACAGG
This 253-nucleotide ribosomal RNA is filed under the name uncultured bacterium. Its description in RNAcentral is "partial 16S ribosomal RNA". It matches the Rfam family "Bacterial small subunit ribosomal RNA", at positions 524 to 776 of the family's 1533-position model. The record is from RNAcentral.